Small nucleolar RNA from Fukomys damarensis (Damara mole-rat), 77 nucleotides. Lineage: Eukaryota; Metazoa; Chordata; Mammalia; Rodentia; Bathyergidae. The record is from Ensembl.
UUGCUGUGAUGACUUUCAUUGGGUUUCGCAUAUUGCUGAGUUCCAAUGAUGCCUCUGUCUCUUGGCUGUCUGAGCAA